GAAUCCCGUCUUUGACAUGGACUGCCAGGGCUCAACAGGUGUGCUCUCGAAGAGUCGAGUUGUUUGGGAAUGCAGCUCAAAAUGGGUGGUAAAUGCCAUCUAAAGCUAAAUAUUGGCGAGAGACCGAUAGCGAACAAGUACCGUGAGGGAAAGAUGAAAAGAACUUUGGAAAGAGAGUUAAACAGUACGUGAAAUUGUUGAAAGGGAAACGCUUGAAGUCAGUCGCGUCGACCGAGACUCAGCCUUGCCCUUGGCUUGGUGUACUUCUCGGCUGACGGGUCAGCAUCAAUUUUGCCCCUUGGAUAAUGGCGAGGGAAAUGUGACACCUUUACGGUGUGUUAUAGUCUCUUGUCGCAUGCAAGGGUUGGGAUUGAGGAACUCAGCACGCACCUUUGGGUGUCGGGGCUUUGCCCACGAUACGUGCUUAGGAUGUUGGCGUAAUGGCUUUAAACGACCCGUCUUGAAACACGGACCAAGGAGUCUAACAUGCCUGCGAGUGUUCGGGUGGAAAACUCGUGCGCGCAAUGAAAGUGAAAGUUGGGACCUCUGUCGUGGAGGGCACCGACGCCCGGACCAGACCUUCUGUGACGGCUCUGCGGUAAAGCAUGUAUGUUAGGACCCGAAAGAUGGUGAACUAUGCCUGAAUAGGGUGAAGCCAGAGGAAACUCUGGUGGAGGCUCGUAGCGAUUCUGACGUGCAAAUCGAUCGUCAAAUUUGGGUAUAGGGGCGAAAGACUAAUCGAACCAUCUAGUAGCUGGUUCCUGCC
This 766-nucleotide ribosomal RNA is filed under the name uncultured Russula. RNAcentral describes it as "partial 28S ribosomal RNA". It matches the Rfam family "Eukaryotic large subunit ribosomal RNA", at positions 216 to 962 of the family's 3401-position model. Lineage: Eukaryota; Fungi; Basidiomycota; Agaricomycetes; Russulales; Russulaceae. The record is from RNAcentral.